RNAcentral lists this ribosomal RNA (253 nucleotides) under uncultured bacterium. RNAcentral describes it as "partial 16S ribosomal RNA". It matches the Rfam family "Bacterial small subunit ribosomal RNA", at positions 524 to 776 of the family's 1533-position model. The record is from RNAcentral. RNAcentral also lists the same sequence under 1 other name.
UACGAAGGGUGCUAGCGUUGUUCGGAAUCACUGGGCGUAAAGCGCGCGUAGGCGGCCAAUCAAGUCAGGGGUGAAAUCCCACAGCUUAACUGUGGAACUGCCUUUGAAACUGUAUGGCUAGAGUGUCGGAGGGGAUGGCGGAAUUGCUAAUGUAGAGGUGAAAUUCGUAGAUAUUAGCAGGAACACCGGUGGCGAAGGCGGCCAUCUGGACGACAACUGACGCUGAGGCGCGAAAGCGUGGGGAUCAAACAGG